CGAGUUGGCCGGGCGGCCGCGGCUUGUCGAAAGAUGAGUCGAGGAAAGUCCGGACUUCACAGAGCAGGGUGAUUGCUAACGGCAAUCCGAGGUGACUCGCGGGACAGUGCCACAGAAAACAAACCGCCGCCCGUACGGGCGGUAAGGGUGAAACGGUGCGGUAAGAGCGCACCAGCAUUCCGGGUGACCGGAAUGGCUAGGUAAACCCCACCCGAAGCAAGGCCAAGAGGCCGCACCUGGUGCGGCUGCGCAGGCGUUCGAGGGCUGCUCGCCCGAGCCUGCGGGUAGGCCGCUCGAGGCACCCGGCGACGGUGCGCCCAGAUGGAUGGUCGCCACCGCGCCGCCGCUUGCCGGCGGAGCGGGACAGAAUCCGGCUUACAGGCCAACUCGCCCG
This 394-nucleotide RNase P RNA is filed under the name Mycobacterium sp. RNAcentral describes it as "RNase P RNA component class A". It matches the Rfam family "Bacterial RNase P class A". From Rfam's summary of the family: Ribonuclease P (RNase P) is a ubiquitous endoribonuclease, found in archaea, bacteria and eukarya as well as chloroplasts and mitochondria. Its best characterised activity is the generation of mature 5'-ends of tRNAs by cleaving the 5'-leader elements of precursor-tRNAs. Cellular RNase Ps are ribonucleoproteins. The record is from RNAcentral. Lineage: Bacteria; Bacillati; Actinomycetota; Actinomycetes; Mycobacteriales; Mycobacteriaceae.